UACGAAGGGGGCAAGCGUUGUUCGGAUUCAUUGGGCGUAAAGGGCGCGUAGGCUGCGGGGCAGGUCGGGUGUGAAAUCUCAGAGCUCAACUCUGAAACUGCACUCGAUACUGCUUUGCUUGAGGACUGGAGAGGAGAUUGGAAUUCACGGUGUAGCAGUGAAAUGCGUAGAUAUCGUGAGGAAGACCAGUGGCGAAGGCGGAUCUCUGGACAGUUCCUGACGCUGAGGCGCGAAGGCCAGGGGAGCAAACGGG
This 253-nucleotide ribosomal RNA is filed under the name uncultured prokaryote. Its description in RNAcentral is "partial 16S ribosomal RNA". It matches the Rfam family "Bacterial small subunit ribosomal RNA", at positions 524 to 776 of the family's 1533-position model. The record is from RNAcentral.